CUAACGGAGAGUUUGAUCCUGGCUCAGGACGAACGCUGGCGGCGUGCUUAACACAUGCAAGUCGAACGAACUCGACCUUCGGGUCAUAUGAGUGAGUGGCGAACGGGUGAGUAACACGUGAGAAACCUGCCCCAAAGUUUGGAAUAACCCGAAGAAAUUCGAGCUAAUACCAAAUGCCCUCUUCGGAUCGAGUGGUCUGAUGAGGAAAGAUUUAUCGCUUUGGGAGGGUCUCGCGGCCUAUCAGCUAGUUGGUGAGGUAACGGCUCACCAAGGCAUCGACGGGUAGCUGGUCUGAGAGGACGAUCAGCCACACUGGGACUGAGACACGGCCCAGACUCCUACGGGAGGCAGCAGUGGGGAAUCUUGCACAAUGGGCGAAAGCCUGAUGCAGCGACGCCGCGUGGGGGAUGAAGGCCUUAGGGUCGUAAACCCCUUUCAGUAGGGACGAAAUUGACGGUACCUACAGAAGAAGCUCCGGCCAACUACGUGCCAGCAGCCGCGGUAAGACGUAGGGGGCGAGCGUUGUCCGGAAUCAUUGGGCGUAAAGAGCUCGUAGGCGGUUCCGUAAGUCGGAUGUGAAAACUCAGGGCUCAACUCUGAGACGCCAUCCGAUACUGCA
RNAcentral lists this ribosomal RNA (619 nucleotides) under Acidimicrobiia bacterium. RNAcentral's name for it is "bacterial SSU rRNA". It matches the Rfam family "Bacterial small subunit ribosomal RNA", at positions 1 to 637 of the family's 1533-position model. Lineage: Bacteria; Bacillati; Actinomycetota; Acidimicrobiia. The record is from RNAcentral.